GCUCAGUAGGGCCAGCCCUGAAGAUGACUCAGAGCUCAGUGCUGGACCCUUUGGUCGCCACAAAGAAACUGAACCCUGGCCGAAUAAAGGUGGACCUUUACCAAGGAGCUCAUGGCUUUCAUCGUGCCCUCUCCAGAUGCCUUCAGCUAAGGAGGAAUCGGAGAAACAGGGCAGCCCACAGAGACCUGCUCCGAGGGCUGCCAUAACGAAAUGCUGCACACUAGGGGUCUUAAGCAACAGAUGUUUGUUAUUCCAAGGCUUGAAGCUCAAGGUCAGUGUGCUGAUGCCACGUGACCCACAUCCCCAAACUCUGCUUCUGUGCCUCCCCAACCAUGAUGGAUAAUAACCUAAAACUCUAAUCAGCAGAAAAAGAAAAGAAGACACCAUGCAUUGGAACCAUUUCUGUGGCUGUGGUAAAGCACAUGACCACAGGUAACUUAGAGAGGAAGUGUAUUUGGGUUUACCAAUCCAGAGAGAUAAGAGUGCAUCGUGGCAGGUAAGCCUGGCACAAGUGACAGACUUGGUGGUGGGGAGAGGAAGAUGGAAACACAUACAUUCAAGCCACAGGAGGAAACAGCAGUAGUGAACUGGCAGUGGAACAAGGCAUUAAAGUCAAAAAGCCAGCCACCAGGGAUAUACUUCUUUCUACCAUCUAAGCACCCUCCGCCCCUCCGCAACUCUGACCCACACAGCACC
This 696-nucleotide small RNA is filed under the name Rattus norvegicus (Norway rat). Its description in RNAcentral is "uncharacterized LOC102555927". Lineage: Eukaryota; Metazoa; Chordata; Mammalia; Rodentia; Muridae. The record is from RNAcentral.